RNAcentral lists this microRNA precursor (58 nucleotides) under Taeniopygia guttata (zebra finch). RNAcentral describes it as "Tgu-Mir-205-P4_pre stem-loop". It matches the Rfam family "mir-205 microRNA precursor family", at positions 9 to 68 of the family's 75-position model. Lineage: Eukaryota; Metazoa; Chordata; Aves; Passeriformes; Estrildidae. The record is from RNAcentral.
UCCUUCAUUCCACCGGAGUCUGUCUCUAGCUAACCAGAUUUCAGUGGAGUGAAGCACA